This 4256-nucleotide long non-coding RNA is filed under the name Homo sapiens (human). RNAcentral's name for it is "HSALNT0127643". The record is from RNAcentral. Lineage: Eukaryota; Metazoa; Chordata; Mammalia; Primates; Hominidae.
GGGAGGAAGGAAGGAAGGAAGAACUUUGAACUUUCUUUUAGAAACUCAGUUUCUAAGGCUUGAGGGUUCACAGGGAAUUUUUAGGAGUACAAUUAUAGGAGGACAAUUAUUAGGAGUAAAAUAUAGAAUACCCAUUUACAAGUUCCACCAAAAGAAAAGCUUGCACAAUUUUUGAUAACAAUAAGUGGCCAAGUGCAGUAGCUCAUGCCUGCAAACCCAGCGCUUUGAGAGGCUAAGGCAGGAAGAUGGCCUGAGGCCAGGAGUUUGAAAACAGCCUAGGCAACAUAGCGAGAUCCCUAUUUUAAGAGAAAAGAAAGGAAAAGAAAAGAAAGGAAAAGAAAAGAAAAGAAAAGAAAAGAAAAGAAAAGAACAGGACAGGAGAGGAGGGGAGGGGAGGGAAGGGAAGGGAAGGGGAGAGAAAGGGAAGGGAAGAUAAGAAAAGAAAAGGAAAGAAAACAAAAGGAAAGAUAAGAAAAGAAAAGAAAAAGCUAGUCAUGGUGGCACAAGCCUAUAGUCCUAGCUACUUAGAAGGCUAAAGCUGGAGGAUUGCUUGAGCACAGGAGUUCCAGGUCACAGUAAGCCAGUAUACUCUAGCCUAGAUGACAGUGUGAGAUCCUGUCUAAAAAAAAAAAAAAAAAAAAAAGUAAGUGUGAUAAUUAUUAUGUGACUGUGAUAAAGAAGAAAAAAAUGAUUAUUGAGUGGUGGUGUUAAUUUUUAGUAAAUAAUGGUUAGCUCCAUUCUUCAUCACAAUGACUAAAAAGAAAAAUGAAGCAAUGGUUGAAAACAUCAAGCUUUUCCAAGCCAUUUUCCCUUCUUCAAUAGCUAAAAGGUCUGUCUCCUGUCAAUUGACUGUCUUAAAUAUGAACUCAAACUACAGAGUACCGACAAUAAUGGAUAGGUCUGCAAUUCUUCACUUUCUGACAUCUUAUUGAGAGAAAAAAUAGAAUCAGGAUCAUAUUUUUUUUAUUUUUUCUUUUUAUAUAAUAGUGUUCCAGAUUCAUUCAACUUCUGGACUCUAACAUCGCAUUAGUAAAGGCCACAGAGAAUUGCUAAAGAAAGUUUUGGAACCAUGCUGACUUGAUUUUACUCAGACUUCUUCAUUUCAAGCAAAGGAAGCAGAUUCUGGCUCUUUCACCAGAGAAGAGGCUUAGUAAGCAGAUAUCAGGAGCUCACAGGUUUGUUGUGAAAAGAACAAGAUUCCAGGACAAAGCUCAAGACCUAGCUUCCAGGAGCAUGCUUUGAAUGGCCGAACUGGCCUCCCAGGAAAACUUUUCAUCAUAAAUGUCACUGAGCAGUAGAUUCUACAGCUUGCCUUACAGAAGCCAAAUAUUUGACUUUGCUACAAACUCAACUACUGCCUGAGUCUUGCUGCUUAUGAUUGUCUCACAACCACCACUGGCUGGUAAAGCCAAAUGGCUCUGGCACCAUUCUUGCUGCAAGGUGGACUUUGAGUGCUUGUCCAUCCUCAUGUGGCUCCCUUCCGAACCAAAAUCUCACUCCAGCUCAUAUGACUGGUGGGGCCUUUGAAAUAUUAGCAAUAUUUUCUACGUGGAUAAUAGGAUGGAUACUUACAGCUGGUAAAUAAUAAGACAGGUUUCAAAAUACCUGAGAGAGGUGAAGAAGUGACCAGGAAGUUAGUAGAAUAUAGUGGUUUUAAAAAAUAUAGAAAGGUGAGCUGGUUAUAUGUCAUUUACUUCAAAGGAAAGAUUUAAAAAUGGUGGACAAAUGCCAAAAGCAUCCUAUCUUUGUAAUAUGUUGGAUAGGAGCCAAGAAGUAAUCAACAUUUUGAGAUGCAGUACAAGAGAGGAAAUGGCCUUAAAGAAAGAUCGGAGUUCAGUGGAGCCCAAAAAGUGAAGGGAGGUGCAGAAAGAAACAAGUUAUUUAAAUAAUUUGUGGGCCAUAGGAGAGUUUGUUUUUGAUGGGGCAGAGAUUGUUAAAAAAUAAUUGAAUGAUAUUAAAUAGAAAUAUAUAUGCAAAAAUGUCCUCAUCAUUUUUUUCUAUGGUUGUCCACUGAAAUAUUCAAAUAUUUUUAAAUGUAUGAAGCUGACAUUUGAGACAGUGUCAUGCAUGGGAUGAUGCCUAAAGUUGCUCUCCAAAGCAAAGAGACAAAUAAUGGAAUUUUCUUUUCAUUGUUGUUGAAGAGUAUGUCUCAAAAUUGUAGCAUUCAGUAGUUUGUUUCUUUAUAAAAAUUACAACAUUUUCAUUUUAAUGAAUUUACUAAAACUUGAUUAAAAAAAGAACAAAAUUCAACACAAUAUAAAUUUUUACAAUAGAUGUCUUUUAUCGCUAAAAGACUAUUUUAACUUCAGCAAAAAAGAAAUUGUAGAAGAUUUUAGGGAAAAGCCAAUAUGACCUUAGAGGAAUUUGCACUCUUUGGGCUCCACACAUGUGCUGCAGUUAUCAGAGUUCCCUGACUCCAAGUGUUUAUUCAAAUCUGUCAGCUAAAUCAUAGAUCAAAAUGCAAAAUGUAACACUCAGGAACAUUACAUGGAUUUGUGACACUCCCUGGAGGACUUUGGGUCCAUAAAGCAAUGAAUGGAUUAUAAGAAGACAUAAAUAUGGUAUUUUCAUCUAUGACAGGUGCAAUCUUACUCCAAUGUUAUUUAUAUUAUAUAAAAGAAAACUGAACCUAUUUUCCUCAGUCCCUUAGGGAUGAAUAAGUGAAUAGCUCACCAUUAAUUUCCAGUUUCUAUGAAUUCACCUUUGAAAAUGUCAUGUUUUCGAGUUUUUUCAACUGGCCAAUGUUUAUUUAUUUUUACAUGUGUUUACUUAUUUUAUAUUUAUUUAACAAUGAAACCAAAAGGAAAAUGGGAGAUGAAAUUGUGAUAACACAAUAAUAUUUUUUUCUUUUUUUGCCAUGAUCCUAAAUCAUGCAAAAUUUACUCAACUUUGAAUUUUAAUGACCAAUUGGGCACCCAGACUAGCUUCCCAUAAAUCCUGCUCUCAGUCUUUUAACAUCUUUUGCAUCCUCAUCCUUACUUCCUGUUAGUUAGGUGGGUUAUAUGGCGUUCUGGAAAAAGCAUGGGUCUUGAAUUUAGAGGAGGAGUACGCUAGUAUUUACUCCACCUAGCUUGUAUCUUUAUAAACGUGCAGAACUAAAAUUUAACCAUGAGAUUCCUUAAGCUUCUCCAGCUUCAGAAUGUUAUAUUUUGGUCCAGUCAAAAUCUAUGAUUUUUUAAAAUGGUUUUAGCCUCACAAUUUUGAAAAAGAAUCAUGAAGUCAUCAGUAAAAAAGCAGGAGUUUAGCCACAAUAUAAAAUGCCAUUUUCACACUGUAUUAAACUUGGGCCAGUGAAGAAACUGCUGAGUUAGUUUUCUGUCUUGAAGGCUUAGCUGUUGUUUUCUUGUCCAAAAUAGAAAGAAGAUGGAUACUUUAAUUACUUAGGUUAACUACCGCUUAGCUAGAACUUUUGCUUUAUAGGUAACCAAGAGAUUUAUAAGAAUACAUCUUUCAAUAUUAUGGUAAUGAAUGGCAAAAUACUAAUUAGGUAGGAUUAGAAAACAAUUUAAUAUUCUUAUUGCAAAAAUCGGAACCAAUCAGAAUCAUGAUGUUUUACUAUGUGAAAUUGUUUGGCUUCCAAUAAUUAUCCAGUGACAGGUGGCAGCCAUAUUGUGAAUCUCUUAAGCAUUGGUAAAAAAAAAAAAUUAAAAGGUACUUAAAUAAUAAUUAAAAUACUAAAAUAUAACUAUUUAUUUAAUUUUAUCUGCCCUGCUCCCACCCCAGCUCAUUUAACUUAAAAACUCUGUUCUGAAGAAAACUACAAGGAUUUGUCCACAAGGGAUAAAAUAAUCCUCAAUUAAAUUCAAUUCAGCAAAUAGUUAUUGAAUCUCUUUUCAUGUUAUUGAACUUAUGUUCUUUAAUUUCUCCUAUCUUAUUGAAAAAGAAAAUGAUAAUACAUACAAAUAGAAAAUAUUUUAAUUUUAGGUUGUUGCAAAAGUGUUUGCGGUUUUUGCAAUUUCUUUUCAUCAAACCUAAUAAAUUUGGUAAAACAAAUUUUACUUUAUUUUUUAAAAUUGUGUCAAUUUUCAAAAAUAAAUUUCCUGUGAUGUUUUCUGAUUUGUGAUUUUAACCAAUGAAAUGGUCAGUGUGAAAUAUUUUUGUUGUUGUCAUCACUUCAAAGUAAUGAAAACACUUUAGAUUGUUCAACUGUAUAGAAGGUUUGCCUUCACACAAUUUUAUAAAUUGUUGAUUGUGUGUCUCUCUAAGUUUUCUCUAAUACAUGCAAAAUAAUGUUGUAAGUAAAAUGAAUGGCUGAC